This 384-nucleotide long non-coding RNA is filed under the name Physcomitrium patens. Its description in RNAcentral is "long non-coding RNA (PPAT_LNC009669)". Lineage: Eukaryota; Viridiplantae; Streptophyta; Bryopsida; Funariales; Funariaceae. The record is from RNAcentral.
AGGAGAUGGAAGGGCCAAUCAAAGCUUCCUCGAAGAAGCGGUACCGACGAUGGUCCUGACAGGAUUCCCGUGAAGCGACGAGCCCUGGAUGGGCAUUUCUAUUGGGCCCUGGAUUGCUUGGACGGCACGCCACCCAAACCCUAAGGGUCAGUGUGAACGCGGAAGGCACUGGGAAUCUUAUAUUUGGGCAGCACUUCUCAUACGAUAUAAAAAAGUACUAUUAUUAUUGUUGUUGUUGUUGUUGUUAUUAUUAUUAUUUAAAUAAGUGUCAUUAUCAACCAAGCAUAAUUUUUUUUUUUGCCGAAUCAUUAGAUGAUUGAGAUUUGACAUUAUACCUAUGUGUAGUUGAGUUAUAUAUUUAUUUUUAAAAGUUGCCAUUUAGAA